CAAGAGGGCCAGCUGCAGCGCGAGAAGCGGGAGCUGAGCCGGGCCGAGCGGGCGCGCCACGAGGCGCUGCUUCGAGGCCGAGUCCGGCAGCAGCAGGAGGAACGGGAGGGCCUGCGGAGCUCCCUGGAGGCCAGCUUGGGCCGCGCGCAAGAGAACUAUGAGCAACUGCAGGAGCAGCGCGCCAGGGAGCUGCGGGAGCGCGCGCGGAGAGAGGAGCUCCAGGGUCGGCGGGCGAAGGAAGCGGCCGAGCGCAAAGAGCGGGAGCAUCAGGCGCACUUGGAGGCGCUGGCACGGGCGGGAGAGCGACGGCUGCAGCACGCUGCGCAAGUGGCCGAAGAGGCGGUGCAGCAGAAGGCCCGGCGCGUGAUUCAGACUCGCCUGGAGAAGGAGAGGGCCCAGCGUGCCAACAAGGAGAAGGUGGAGAGAGACGAAGACUGCCGCCGUCGGGAGUUGCUGCAGGCCAUUGGGCGCAAGCUGGAGCGCAGCGAGCAGCUCUCUCGAGAACGGCGAAGUGCGCUGGAGAGCGCUCGCUCCACAGCCCGGGCCUCCUUCCAUGUGCGGGAAAAGGUGCGGGAAGAGACCAACACGCGCUCUUUUGACCGCAUGGUGCGAGAGGCCCAGCUACAUGCCAGCCUGGACCGCAAAUGACAGCCACCCUGUGCAGGCCAUGCUGCUCUGUGUAGCCAGGAGUGGCCUCCCUUAGUCACUUUGACCAAACUCCAGGCUUCUCCAAUCCUGGUGCCACACCAUGAACUCUCCAGACUAACGAACCAUGAGGCGCUGAGAAGCCAGACAUGGUAUUUUUUCCAUCUGCCGCCAUUGUUUUAUAGACCUAACUUCGUUUGGAAAUGACAUGGCACAAUCUACCCACAUUCACUUGUGUCUUUGGGUUGGAAUAGAAA
This 902-nucleotide long non-coding RNA is filed under the name Rattus norvegicus (Norway rat). RNAcentral describes it as "long non-coding RNA NONRATT025159". Lineage: Eukaryota; Metazoa; Chordata; Mammalia; Rodentia; Muridae. The record is from RNAcentral.